Molecule: long non-coding RNA, 729 nt
Organism: Drosophila gunungcola (fruit fly)
Lineage: Eukaryota; Metazoa; Arthropoda; Insecta; Diptera; Drosophilidae
Exons: 3
Source: RefSeq, a predicted model, not a curated record
UUUACUUAUUUAUAUUUAUGCACUUACCUGAUUAAUUAAUAAUUGCCUAAUAUUUUCACUUUUAAAAACACUUUCUCACUCUGUUGCAGUCGAAUUCAAGUGCAAAGGGAAUGGGGAGAACGAAAAACGAAACCGAAAUUUCUGCCUGACGCGUACCAGGCCGCUGCUCGGAAUUACUUCGAAAUAAACAACAACAAAAAAGUUCGAACUUCGGCAGUGGCAGAAGUGCCGACAGAAUUUUGUCAGCCUGCUUUGUUUUGAACUGAUGAAGCCCAUGUGAUUUGUUUUUGUUUUUCGAACAUGCCGGCCAGGAAAGAGCAGGGAAGGGAAUUUAAGAACUACAGGAACACUACGUACCCGAUGUACUCGAAAGACGAAACACGACAAAGCAGUGCGCAACCGGCCAUUUCACAACACCAACACGACGGAGCAAGCAGAGCGCAACCGGCCAUUCGGCAGCAUCAAUACGACGGAUCAAGAAGUGCACAACCGACCAUCCCACAUCAUAAACACAACGUAGUAAGCAGUGCGAACUUGGCCACCCCGCAGCGCCAACGCAACAUGUCAAACAGUGCGCAACCGGCCAUUCCGCAGCGCCGGCGUAACGAAGCAAGCAGAACACAACUCGAUCCUUUCGCAACGCCGACGCAACGAAGCAAGCAGUUAAACAACUCUACGCGAUAAGCAGUAUGAGGCACCCAACCAUCGAAAUUACCGAUUGUAUUUAGU